Triticum aestivum (bread wheat) is the source of this 5872-nucleotide RNA transcript. RefSeq lists it as uncharacterized. Lineage: Eukaryota; Viridiplantae; Streptophyta; Magnoliopsida; Poales; Poaceae. The transcript is spliced from 2 exons. The record is from RefSeq and is a predicted model, not a curated record.
ACUCACGACGUCAUUGCCGGCGACGAGGCCAGGCGACCGUGGAUACGGGAACAAGGGCGGCGCACCCUGCAGCAGCUGCCCUGCGUCGCGCCGCGCGUGGACUUGCUCCGCCCGCGUCGGCCGACCGAGCAGGAGCACCAGGAGCCGCCCUGGCCGCACUUCGACGGGCACCUGUCCGUCACGGCUGCCCUUGUGGAGGUGCUCCGUCGCCCCGCGUUGGCCGCGCAAGCAGGAGCACCAGGGGCCGCCCCGACCGUGCAUCGAUGGGCAGCUCGCCGUCGUGGCUGCCCCCGCCGUGUCGUCGCGCGAGCAGGAGCACUAAGCGCCGCCCCAGCCGCACACAUAACGGACACCUCGCCGUCGCGGCUGUCCCCGUCGCGCCGCGCAUGGAGGUGCUCCGUUGGCCCGCAUCGGCCGCGAUCGGGAGCACCAGUGCGAACAGGAGCGCCAGGGUCCGCGACAGCUGCGAAUGGUUGGGGCGACGGCUGGGCGCGGUCGCUGAGGGAAGCCGACGACUAUGGAGGACAUCGAGCGGCGGUGGCAGGCACUCCCGCUUCUGUUCCGAUGGCAGCCUCUCCCGCUUCUGCUCCGAGUAGAUCAACGACGUCGUGAGCCUUUGACCCCUCCAUCUAGGGCAUUCUAGGUACAAGAUGCAUCCAUCCAUCUCAUCGCUAUGAUAUUUUUGUUGAAGCCACAAGUCUGAUUGAUCGAUGAUUCCACCUCUGUUUGAGUCAGUAUUACCAUGCUUGUUUCAUUUGUUUUGCACUGCCUUUCAAUAGAAGUUUAGUAGAGAGUGCCAAGGAAUUUUUGGAUAUCCAUACUUACUGCUAAUACACCUCAUGUAGUGUUGCUUGUUGAGUCAAGCAAAUUUGCUCGAUCAAUUUGAGUCCAUCUUUGUUUGUUUCAGUAAUAGCAUGUUUCAGUUAACUGUCGGAGUGAUACAUCGAGUCCACCUCUGCAUGUUUGGCUGAUUGGGUCAGUAUAUAUGCCCCUUUUAAGAACAUGGCAGAUAUAUCUUUUGUAGCAUGGCAAUUUUAACUUUUUAUUUGCCAUGGCAAAUUCACUUUUUAUUGCCAAGACGAUGGCAAUUUUUAGCAAAUAACCAUUCACAUUUAGAUUACGAACCACGGCAAAUAUCAUUAUUUAACCAUGACAAUUUUAUUUUUUCCGUUGCUCAUGUUAAAUUUUAGUAAUUUACCAUGGCAAAUUUAGUUCAUAGAUGCUGGCAAGUAGUUUCUCAUUAACCAUGGCAACUAUAUUUUUCAUUGGUUCAUGGUAAGUUUAGUAAUUAACCAUGGAAAAUUUAGUUUAUAUAUCAUGGCAAAUUUUUUGUUCCAUUUUUUUGUGUGUGCGUAGAUCAUCGCAAAUUCCUGCGACCACGGCAACUUAUAUUUGGACAAAUUUCAGUUUUUCGUACAAACCAUGGCAAUUUUUUCCGUAGCACGACAACUUAUUUUUUUAUGAGAAGUGUGCCUCAUACAUCGUUGCAAAUUUCGAAAUUUUUUUUUGGAUAUUCAUACAAUAAUUGUAUGAUCUUUUUAUCUUCAUAACAUGUUUCUUCUAUGAACAUGGCAAUUUUUACUUUGUACUUACUACAGAAAUUUCAUUUCUAUUGACAUGGCAAAUUUACUUUUAUUGCCAAGACGAUGGCAAUUAUUUAGCAAACAACCGUCACAAAUUUAGUUAAUGAAUCAUGGCAAAUUUAAUUAACGAAUCAUGGCAAAUUUAGUUAACCAAUCAUGGCAAAUUUAGUUAAGGAACCAUGGCAAGUUUAUUUCAUUGAUCAGGGUAAAUUUUAUUAUUUGACCAUGGCAAAUUCAAUUCAUAGAUCAUUAUACACGAAGUUUUAGUUUCUCAUUCAUUACCCAUGGCAAAUUUAUUUUAUUGAUCAUGGCAAUUUUUAGUUUGAUGUAUCUCCAUGGAAAAUUUUAUUUUUUUAAUUCCCAAGGAGAUGGCAAUUUUUAGUAAAUGACCAUGGCAAAUUAAGUUUACGAUUCAUGGCAAAUUUCAUUAGUUACCAAUGGCAAAAAAAACAUUGAUCAUUGGAAAUCUAGUGUUUUGCCAUGUCAAUUUUGAACUUAUAAAUCAUGGCAAAUUUAAUGUCCAUGUCUCAUGGCAGUGCCAAAAUGGUGCACUCAUGAUAAUAUUCACAUUUUUUAAACAUGUUAAUGCAUGGGGUAAUGUGCAUCACGGUAAAUUUAAAUCAACGGCAAAUUUACACCACUUUUUGGCCACCAUUUGGCAAACUUAUAGAUUUGGAUUUGCCAUCAAUGCUUUUUUUUUCUGACCAUUGAAAAUUUUCUUUCUUUUUGCUUCUUGUCAAAAUUACCUUUUUAUGCGACCAUGGCAAAUUUAGUUUUAUGGUCACGGCAAUCUUUUUCUAUGCAACAUGGCAUUUUUUGUUGUGCUGGCCAUGGCUGUUUCUUUACGCCCACGGCAAUUUAUAUUUGAACAAAUUUCAAUUUUUCAUACAACCAUGGCAAUUUAUUUCCUGUAGCACGGCAACUUUUUUUGUACGUCAUGAAAUUUUUGCUAGUUGCCAUCUAUCAUGGCAUUUUUCUUUUUCUAUAGGUACUGUGGUAGCCUCAACAAUUAUAGCAAUUGAUGUCUAGAUUUUUGUGGCAUUUUUAUUGUACAGUUUUUUUGUCAGUUUUCCAGUUGGGUUGUCUUUGUGUUUUUUUUACUUUUUAAAAUAUUUUUUGCAAAGGGAAUCGUUUGGGCCAGCAGGCCUAGCAAAAGGCCAGCUGACGUGGGAUUCGAUGGAUGGUUCGGGCUGGGGGAAGAUCGCAACGAACGAAAACGUUCGGUGGUACUUCCCUGCUGCACGAACGAUUCGUUCGGAUCGCUCACCACCCACCCCGAACGUUCGGGAGAUAUUGACGUCCGGCAGUCCCACAAGCGGCGGAAAAAAUGCCGCUGCAGAUGAUCUGGCGGCCGCUAUAUCGGGCGGCUGGGGCGCGAUGGGCCGGUGCGCCGGCGCCCAUCAGUCCCCAUUUUAUACCCACCCCCUACCCCUUCACUCGAGUCUCCACUCGACGCCGACUGCGGCCACACUCCCGAACCCUAGCCUUGCCGGAAUGAGCAGCCCCUCCGCCGCCGCAUCGUCGCCGGCCCCCGCGCUGGACGGCGGCGUCAUCCUCGAAGAGAUGCUCGAGGAGAUCCUCCUCCGCCUCCCUCCGCAGCCCUCCUCCCUUCCGCGCGCAUCCCUCGUGUGCACGCGCUGGCGCCGCAUCCUCUGCAGCCCCGGCUUCCUCCGCCGCGUCCGCGAGCACCACGGCCGGAGCAAGCCACCGCCGCUACUCGGCUUCUUCGACGAGGCAUUCUGCAGAGACAAGCGGCCCAUCUUCAAGCCCACGACGAUGGGCCGGUGGGACCGCAUCCCACCCGCGCGCUUCUCGGCGCCAUGGAUUCGCGGCGAGGGCUGGGCGUUUCUCGGCUGCCGACAUGGCCUGGCCCUUCUCAUCUGCCAGAAGCGCCGCGAGGCCGUCGUGUGGGACCCCCUCACCGGUCACCAGCGCCGCCUUGCGUUUCCACCAGGGUUCUGCAGGAAAAAGGGGAGGCUCGUCCAGAACGCGGCGGUGAUGUGCACCGCCGCCGUCGAAGACGGGCAUGUGCACGGUGACUGCCGCUUCACCCCAUUUAGAUUGGCCUUGGUAGGCAGUGAUUCUGACGGCACACACAACUUUGCUUGCCUGUAUCAAUCGGAGUCCGGUGUGUGGGGGGAUGUUGUCUCACUAGAGACCACACGUUCGACAUGUGUAUGUGUUGCAAAACCCAGCGUCCUGGUUAGAAUUUCAUUUUGCUGGCUGGUUUCUGAAGGUGGCAUCCUCGAGUUUGAUUUUGAAAGCCAGAGCCUUGUGGUGAUCCAGAAGCCGGCAGACGUUAAUGUAGUAGGCUACCACUGGUCCUUUCUCGUUGUACGGACACAGCACAGCGGUCUGGGCCUUGCUGUUUUUCCCGAGCCAGAUUGUCAGAGCGGAGAUUGUCAGAGCGGUAUCAUCCAAUUAUGGGAGAGAAAAUCUAACCGUGAUGAUGUUGUUGGAUGGGAACUGCCGAAAACCAUUCAGCUAGAUGGGCUCUUUUCAUUUGAACUGACCGGGAAGUCAAAGGCGGUUAUGAUGCAGGGGUAUGAUGAGGACAGCAAUGCGAUUUUGCUAUCAACGUUUUACGGUGAAUACAUGCUCCAGCUUGAGUCCACGCAGUUUAUAUAUCUUAUUGAACACCAAAGCAAUUACAUUAGAACCAGGACCUACUAUCCGUACAGAAAUUUCUAUGGUACAGGUAAUCCCUUGUCGCUGUCUGCUCUUGGUGUAUUUAGCAUGUUCUUUCUAAUUAUUGGCAACUGGCGAAUGGGCAGGAACUGUGCUAAAACUAUAUUGGCAAACCAUUUUAUAUGUAAUGUGUUAUUUGAUUUCACAGGUGGAGUGCUAUGUAUCUUGAUUGAUCUUGAUAUUAAUCAUAUAUUCAUAAUAGUUAUUGGCAUCUUUAAUAUCAUACAUGGGAAAACAUUGCUUGUUCAUUGAACCUGAAUAGUGGUUAGUAUUGUCAUCAGUCACUUAAGUUUCUCAAAUAAAAAUAACGAGCUUAUUUUAGUUUCUUUACCCAUUUGACAUUGCUGGAACGAAUCCUCUUCAGAAUAGUAAUUCUAUCUGAAUACAUUUCCUCUGAACAGCUAAACAGUCCUAACAUGUAUAAUUCAUUACUAGGUAAAUGAUGAUUGUCUCUCUACCUUGCGCACCUAGCAGUAGAUAUGGUUUCAUUUCCCCAUUCCUACCUUUGUCAUAAAGGGUAGUUUUGCCUUCUCAUCGGUUUACCUCUUCCAUGAAUUUUCUUCGGUUUAUUGGGUUUCUUUUGCUUGUAGGCAGCAGAGUUGGUGGUCGAGAUGGUGGAGCUGAAAUGUCAAUGCAUUAGAUGAUUGUCCCAUUAGGCUUGUGCUUUGGAGAUUUCAGAUGCCAUGCAAGCUGAUUUAUGGAGGCAUCUUAUUGUUUAUUUUUUUGACUUGGUGGCAUGCCACAUGUUCGAAUUAGUGACAUCUCGAUGAUGGUUAUUACAGACCUGGCAGUUUCGUUGUAUCUAAGCUGCAUUAGUACCGUACUGGUCUAUUGUUUGCUUCGUAGUGUCGACAACGUAGACUGAAAUAUGCUUAGGUGCCCACGGGUUAGUUAUUUAACUAGUAGGAACUCGGAUGACUACAUGUCAGAUGGUUUCAAACUUUCAAUUGUUAUGUCAUGUCCUAGCAAGUGUGUACUGUUUCAAUUGAGUAAUGAGUGGAACUGCCUAUCUCUUUCAGAUUUGAACUCUUUUUGUUACUUGUUUGUUAAUUUGGCUUUGAAAAUGAUUAGAAUUGAUGUUGCUGUAACCGCAACCAUGAUGCAGCAUGAAUACUAGAGAAUACAUUAUAUAUCCAUAGUUAUGCUAUUAAGGAACUGACAAGGAGUUCUCUUAAGAAAGAAAUUUUGAUGAAAAGUUUACUGUGUACAUAGUACAUACUAAAUUUCCUAUAUGAAGAGUUUCUCCAGGUAUGUACCAAUCAUCAUACUAGUGACUGCUUCUAUGUUGUAGAUGUCAGCUAAUAUAAGUGCUGACCAACAUAGUUCCAUUUUAUUAAAUUUCAUACAACCUAUGAACAUUUUUUGGUUAUAAUUAGAGCCAGCUAUUGUGAUUUGUGGAUGUAAAAAUGUUCGUCCCCCCAUUAACUUAGUUUCAAUUCUUGGGCACAUGCUUGGAAGAUGUGGAGGUCUCAAGUAAUGAUUUGGAUGUAACACAACACCCAUGUAAUGUGAGCAAUGGCUGAGAGCUAACAGGUGGAGGGAUGAAUUGUGGGGCUGGCUCGGUUGAAAGAAUAUACCGAUUCAGCAGCAGAAAAGGGUAU